CUAAACUCACACCUUCAUUUUUGAAGGUGACUGCUGUAGUAGCCAAGGAGCUUGAAGGAUCUGCUGGCCUGUUAUGGAGUUUCCAGACUUGGGCAAGCAUUGUUCAGAAAAAACUUGUAAACAGCUGGAUUUCCUUCCUUUAAAAUGUGAUGCAUGUGAGGAAGUUUUCUGUAAAAAUCACAUCACAUAUGACCAACACAAGUGUACCUCUUCUUAUAAGAAGGAUGUGCAGGUUCCAGUAUGUCCUUUAUGUAACACUCCCAUCCCAGUGAGAAGAGGAGAGACACCAGACAUUGUAGUUGGAGCACACAUGGACAGGGACUGCAAAUAUGAUCCUACUCAGCAGAAACAGAGGAUUUUCACAAAUAAGUGCUUAAAAGAAGGUUGCAAAAGGAAAGAGAUGAUGAAGCUUGUUUGUAACCAGUGCCAUGGAAACUUCUGUAUAAAACAUCGGCAUCCUCUGGAUCAUGACUGCAAAGGGGGAGGUCGCUCCAUCUCCAAAGCUGGAUAUGCAGCUAUAAUGAGAGCAUCUGAAUCCAGCUUCAGGCCAACUGGAUCAAAUAAGAUGUCCUCUAACUGGUAUCUUGAGCGCAACAGGUAUAAACAGAAGUGUGGUUAUGAGAUUGUCAAAACAAGAUGACAUAAAACAGAGCAUUGUGUCCACAGGAUGUAGAACUGCCAUUGGCACUCCUUCCUUAACUUUAUUAUUUUAUAAUAGGUGUCAGUUGACAUCUGAGCACUGCCAGGAGUGUAAAGGAGAGGCAUAUAACAGUCCAAGACAUGGCUAAUUGCUACUGUGACAAAACAAUCUUUGCAUAGUGUAUCAAUUGUGACAGAGUUCCUCCUACCUGGAUGCUGAUGACUUGAAGGCAGUCCUAAUGGCUGGAUGAAUCUCUCUCCUUUUAGUGUAAAUUUAUUGUCUAAAGUGUUGUGCAUAUUUUUCUACAGGACAAAUAAACUAAAUUACUUAAUCUCUCAA
This is an RNA transcript of Gopherus flavomarginatus (Mexican gopher tortoise), 979 nucleotides long. It is a transcript of the gene named zinc finger AN1-type containing 2A, with no coding region annotated. Lineage: Eukaryota; Metazoa; Chordata; Testudines; Testudinidae. The record is from RefSeq and is a predicted model, not a curated record. The transcript is spliced from 6 exons.